AAAUGGAUAACGUGCCCCGAACUCUGGGAUAGCGGCGGAACUUCGGUUCCUUUGCGAAAGUGCCGGUAAUACCAGAUGACCUCGUGUGAUCUCAUGAUUGUGCGAGCAAAGUUCAGGCGGUUUGGGAGCGGUCCAUUUCCUAUCAGCUUGUUGGUGGGGUAAAGGCCUACCAAGGCAACGACGGGUAUCGGGUGUGAGAGCACGACCCGACACAUCGGGACUGAGACACUGCCCGG
This 236-nucleotide ribosomal RNA is filed under the name uncultured bacterium. RNAcentral describes it as "partial 16S ribosomal RNA". It matches the Rfam family "Bacterial small subunit ribosomal RNA", at positions 115 to 334 of the family's 1533-position model. The record is from RNAcentral.